GUUUACUAUAAUCUUGGAUGAGUCAGGUUCCCGAAUGGUUGUGAGCUAUAUAUAUAUAAAGUAUUACGUUGCAGAGUAAUAGUGUAAUGUUUAUAUAGGGGUGAUAGGCCUGACAAACUACUUGAUAACUGGUUGUAUAGGAAAAAUAUUAAGUAGAAAGUCAAACUAAUAAUGUUAAGCUUGUUAGUUGGCAUAAAAUGAAAUACUCUCGAGUUGUACAGUGUAAAAGCUAAUAAAAGAAAGUUGAAAUAUUAUACUUAUAUAUUUAUGUAACGUACUAUAUCUAUUGUUUAAGGCAACGUUAGAUAAUGUAAAUAUAAGUAGUAAUAAUAAUUCAUAUUAAAGGAACUCGGCAAAUGUACUGCUCAACUGUUUAUCUAAAACAUAACCACAUGCAAGAUACAUGUGGCUGCUUCUGCUCCAUGGUAUGCUAAAUAGCCGCAGUACUCUGACUGUGCAAAGGUAGCAUAAUCAUUUGGCCUCUGAUUAAGGUCUGGUAUGAACGAAGUUAUGGGUGGUUGCUGUCUUAAUAUGUUACAAUGAAUUUAAUGUGCAAGUGCAAAUACUUGCGCCUUUAAAAUAGACGAGAAGACCCUAGAAGCUUGAUUUUUUUUUGUUGGGGCGACAGAAUUACAGUUAACUAAUUUUACACUACAGGACUUUUAAAGUCAGUUAAAGCUACUCUAGGGAUAACAGCAUAAUAUUUAAAAGUUUGUGACCUCGAUGUUGGACUAGGUACCUUGUUCCUUAGAAGGGAGCGAGCCACGCUCUGUUCGAGCAUUGUCACCUACAU
RNAcentral lists this ribosomal RNA (793 nucleotides) under Caucasotachea leucoranea. RNAcentral describes it as "partial 16S ribosomal RNA". The stretch from base 285 to 570 matches the Rfam family "Archaeal large subunit ribosomal RNA", at positions 1784 to 2143 of the family's 2987-position model. The record is from RNAcentral. Lineage: Eukaryota; Metazoa; Mollusca; Gastropoda; Stylommatophora; Helicidae.